This is a long non-coding RNA of Etheostoma cragini (Arkansas darter), 154 nucleotides long. RefSeq lists it as uncharacterized. The transcript is spliced from 2 exons. The record is from RefSeq and is a predicted model, not a curated record. NCBI's taxonomy places the organism in Eukaryota, Metazoa, Chordata, Actinopteri, Perciformes, Percidae.
UAUGAUAAACCGAUGGUUCACUGGCGGCCUCUACUGGAGAGCGGUGCGGAGUUAGAACUUAGAGAACAGUGUCAAUGAACAACAAUGCAGUCGAAUCCAGGAGUACGUCCAUGGUAAAUGGUUAGCAUUACUGUACCUCGGUAUAGUUUAAAAA